Molecule: long non-coding RNA, 1598 nt
Organism: Hippocampus zosterae (dwarf seahorse)
Lineage: Eukaryota; Metazoa; Chordata; Actinopteri; Syngnathiformes; Syngnathidae
Exons: 3
Source: RefSeq, a predicted model, not a curated record
AUACACACAAAAUGGAGGGUAUGCGUGUGUGUGUCCUUGACUGAAUGUGAGCAUCCAAGGCCGGGUGGAGAGGGGGGACUCCUUAACCUCCAUAAAUCAUCAAAAAUAAUCAAAUUCUGGUUCCUGAGUGGAAGAUUCCCAGCGUGCUGCUUGUGAGGAAAGCUGCAUUGGGAGGGGUCCCAAAGAAGAGAGAGAGAAGAAAAGGAGUGAGACGCAAUGGAGGGAUGAGGGUGUUCGGAGAGUGAGAGAUCUGUGCUCGACGUGACAAGGUCUUGAUGUGGUUUUUCGUCUCCACCAAGAUGGAUUUUAAUGUCUAUGAUUCUUUUGUUAUUUUUUUAGCUUUUUUUGGGGGGGGGGGUCAGACUUUGAGGAGCCUCUUGGGGAUGUUCAACAUCACGCGUGCCAUUGAAGAUCAUGAUGAAGUGGUAGCCCAGUCCAGUGACGCAACUCAAGACAGCCACCAAUUAUGAGGAUAUGAUACAAAGGAAGAUUUGUUGUGUUUAACACGUGCGAGGUGAUCAGAAUUCCAGGAGGUGAGAAGAGUACAAACUGGCCACAAUACACAAGUAUUGGCAAAAUCAAAAUGGCAGCCAUUUAGUAGUUACGUUUUAAUAAAAAAUCAAACACAACUGAGGGGAGCAGAAUUCAAUAUUGCCAUCAUUUAAAAAGAGGUGUUACAAACUCAAAAUGGCAUUCAUUCAAUGGGUUUUGAAACACAGCCAGAGAGCUUCCGAUUCGAUUAAAUCUGUAGUCUUGUGUAGAAUUCUGGCUCAAUCAAUUGUCAAAAAAUGUCACCCUUUAUUUGACUUGAAAGAUUAGUGUACUAACAGGUGAGUGUUGUUAACCAUAACCUCUAGGAAGGAUGCAUAAGACUUCAAGGGCUUUCGUGAGCGUUUAAUUUUUUACAAAAUGUAUAAAUUGACAUAUUUACAGUGAAAACAAAGGAAAUUGUCUUUGAAUUUGACUUUUGUCUCAAACCCAAACAAGGAAGUGAGCUGCCUAUUGACGUCACCUGUUGCCAGCUCGACAGCCAUCUUGAACGCUCUCUAACUUGGCAUAGCAACAAGCUAAUGCUAAUUAAAAAUGACUACAUCACUCAAAUUCUACCAUUAAAAUUCAUUAUUUAUACUUCAAGUGAUAUUUUUCUUACACUUGAACAUUUAUGAGUCCAAUUUGCUGUGCUUCUGGAUAAAAAUGAAGUGCCAGUGAGGCAGUUGAAGCCAAAGAAGCACACACCCUUGAGGCUCAUCAACUUCAAAUAACUACGACGACAGAGGCUAAAACACAACAAUCAACUGUCUUCCGGACUUGUUGAGUGUUUGUGGGGAUUUCAAUAGGGUCAAACAUCCGCUUUAAAGGCCCACAAGCAGGCUCAAGUUCCUUCCUGCCUGCUUUGGCUCCCUCUAGCCGCGCCUCCAUGUUUGCUUCUUAACGCACAAGCCGUGGCCUGGGCCGCUUGAAAAUGUUGCAGACAUGCCAAAUUAACCCCUAAAACUGGUCCUUCUUGGGCCCAACGCGUACUACACUUUACCACUUUGAAUCCCAAGCAAUAUUAGUCACCAUUGGCCACGAAAGGUCUGUUUAUUUCUUACCUUUCA